Molecule: ribosomal RNA, 2929 nt
Filed under: Escherichia coli
Lineage: Bacteria; Pseudomonadati; Pseudomonadota; Gammaproteobacteria; Enterobacterales; Enterobacteriaceae
Description: 23S ribosomal RNA
Rfam family: Bacterial large subunit ribosomal RNA
Source: RNAcentral
GGGUUGUGAGGUUAAGCGACUAAGCGUACACGGUGGAUGCCCUGGCAGUCAGAGGCGAUGAAGGACGUGCUAAUCUGCGAUAAGCGUCGGUAAGGUGAUAUGAACCGUUAUAACCGGCGAUUUCCGAAUGGGGAAACCCAGUGUGAUUCGUCACACUAUCAUUAACUGAAUCCAUAGGUUAAUGAGGCGAACCGGGGGAACUGAAACAUCUAAGUACCCCGAGGAAAAGAAAUCAACCGAGAUUCCCCCAGUAGCGGCGAGCGAACGGGGAGCAGCCCAGAGCCUGAAUCAGUGUGUGUGUUAGUGGAAGCGUCUGGAAAGGCGCGCGAUACAGGGUGACAGCCCCGUACACAAAAAUGCACAUACUGUGAGCUCGAUGAGUAGGGCGGGACACGUGGUAUCCUGUCUGAAUAUGGGGGGACCAUCCUCCAAGGCUAAAUACUCCUGACUGACCGAUAGUGAACCAGUACCGUGAGGGAAAGGCGAAAAGAACCCCGGCGAGGGGAGUGAAAAAGAACCUGAAACCGUGUACGUACAAGCAGUGGGAGCACGCUUCGGCGUGUGACUGCGUACCUUUGUAUAAUGGGUCAGCGACUUAUAUUCUGUAGCAAGGUUAACCGAAUAGGGAGCCGAAGGGAAACCGAGUCUUAACUGGGCGUUAAGUUGCAGGGUAUAGACCCGAAACCCGGUGAUCUAGCCAUGGGCAGGUUGAAGGUUGGGUAACACUAACUGGAGGACCGAACCGACUAAUGUUGAAAAAUUAGCGGAUGACUUGUGGCUGGGGUGAAAGGCCAAUCAAACCGGGAGAUAGCUGGUUCUCCCCGAAAGCUAUUUAGGUAGCGCCUCGUGAAUUCAUCUCCGGGGUAGAGCACUGUUUCGGCAAGGGGGUCAUCCCGACUUACCAACCCGAUGCAAACUGCGAAUACCGGAGAAUGUUAUCACGGGAGACACACGGCGGGUGCUAACGUCCGUCGUGAAGAGGGAAACAACCCAGACCGCCAGCUAAGGUCCCAAAGUCAUGGUUAAGUGGGAAACGAUGUGGGAAGGCCCAGACAGCCGAGGAUGUUGGCUUAGAAGCAGCCAUCAUUUAAAGAAAGCGUAAUAGCUCACUGGUCGAGUCGGCCUGCGCGGAAGAUGUAACGGGGCUAAACCAUGCACCGAAGCUGCGGCAGCGACACUAUGUGUUGUUGGGUAGGGGAGCGUUCUGUAAGCCUGUGAAGGUGUGCUGUGAGGCAUGCUGGAGGUAUCAGAAGUGCGAAUGCUGACAUAAGUAACGAUAAAGCGGGUGAAAAGCCCGCUCGCCGGAAGACCAAGGGUUCCUGUCCAACGUUAAUCGGGGCAGGGUGAGUCGACCCCUAAGGCGAGGCCGAAAGGCGUAGUCGAUGGGAAACAGGUUAAUAUUCCUGUACUUGGUGUUACUGCGAAGGGGGGACGGAGAAGGCUAUGUUGGCCGGGCGACGGUUGUCCCGGUUUAAGCGUGUAGGCUGGUUUUCCAGGCAAAUCCGGAAAACUAAGGCUGAGGCGUGAUGACGAGGCACUACGGUGCUGAAGCAACAAAUGCCCUGCUUCCAGGAAAAGCCUCUAAGCAUCAGGUAACAUCAAAUCGUACCCCAAACCGACACAGGUGGUCAGGUAGAGAAUACCAAGGCGCUUGAGAGAACUCGGGUGAAGGAACUAGGCAAAAUGGUGCCGUAACUUCGGGAGAAGGCACGCUGAUAUGUAGGUGAAGCGACUUGCUCGUGGAGCUGAAAUCAGUCGAAGAUACCAGCUGGCUGCAACUGUUUAUUAAAAACACAGCACUGUGCAAACACGAAAGUGGACGUAUACGGUGUGACGCCUGCCCGGUGCCGGAAGGUUAAUUGAUGGGGUUAGCGGUAACGCGAAGCUCUUGAUCGAAGCCCCGGUAAACGGCGGUACCGUAACUAUAACGGUCCUAAGGUAGCGAAAUUCCUUGUCGGGUAAGUUCCGACCUGCACGAAUGGCGUAAUGAUAUAAAGCUGUCUCCACCCGAGACUCAGUGAAAUUGAACUCGCUGUGAAGAUGCAGUGUACCCGCGGCAAGACGGAAAGACCCGUGAACCUUUACUAUAGCUUGACACUGAACAUUGAGCCUUGAUGUGUAGGAUAGGUGGGAGGCUUUGAAGUGUGGACGCCAGUCUGCAUGGAGCCGACCUUGAAAUACCACCCUUUAAUGUUUGAUGUUCUAACGUUGACCCGUGAUCCGGGUUGCGGACAGUGUCUGGUGGGUAGUUUGACUGGGGCGGUCUCCUCCUAAAGAGUAACGGAGGAGCACGAAGGUUGGCUAAUCCCUGGUCGGACAUCAGGAGGUUAGUGCAAUGGCAUAAGCCAGCUUGACUGCGAGCGUGACGGCGCGAGCAGGUGCGAAAGCAGGUCAUAGUGAUCCGGUGGUUCUGAAUGGAAGGGCCAUCGCUCAACGGAUAAAGGUACUCCGGGGAUAACAGGCUGAUACCGCCCAAGAGUUCAUAUCGACGGCGGUGUUUGGCACCUCGAUGUCGGCUCAUCACAUCCACGGGGCUGAAGUAGGUCCCAAGGGUAUGGCUGUUCGCCAUUUAAAGUGGUACGCGAGCUGGGUUUAGAACGUCGUGAGACAGUUCGGUCCCUAUCUGCCGUGGGCGCUGGAGAACUGAGGGGGGCUACUCCUAGUACGAGAGGACCGGAGUGGACGCAUCACUGGUGUUCGGGUUGUCAUGCCAAUGGCACUGCCCGGUAGCUAAAUGCGGAAGAGAUAAGUGCUGAAAGCAUCUAAGCACGAAACUUGCCCCGAGAUGAGUUCUCCUGACUCCCUGAGAGUCCUGAAGGAACGUUGAAGACGACGACGUUGAUAGGCCGGGUGUGUAAGCGCAGCGAUGCGUUGAGCUAACCGGUACUAAUGAACCGUGAGGCUUAACCUUACAACGCCGAAGGUGUUU